CAGAGCAAUUCGGCAAUGCCAAGUCCAAGCCAGCAGUUCUACCUCUAGUGAUGGACCCCAGAGAAACACCCACAGCCACGCACAUGAGGUAGCCCGGCUAAAAUGUCCACGCCCUGAGAGCACGGCAUUUUUGUCUGUUUUAUUCUUUGCUCUAUCUCCAGUGCUUAUGCUUAGUUGAUGUUUGGUUAACAUUUGUUGACUUGAUUAAUGAAUGAACUAAAGACAUGGUGAUAUUGGGAAAGAUUGCUCCAAGCUCCAUCAAGGAGGUGGAGACUAGAGGCAGGAGGAGAGAGGUACAAUGCUAUAGGUGGAAAGUGACAGUGUCCUCUAUCAUGAAGACCAAUUCAGACAGAGUGACUGUCCCAGUUGCACACUCAAUUAUUCCCUGGUAAGCUCAUCUCCUUCCUCCUCUUCUCACAGACAGCCUGAGGGUCUCUGCCUUAGACCUCAGUCAGGAGAUUCGUAAGUUCUUCUUUAGUAAACCGAGAGUCAAGCAUUGUGUGCAAUGGGUCUCAUCAUUCAGCAACCGUGUUCCAGGACCUAGGAAACAAAGUCCGAGUUCCUCAGCCUGGCAUUUAAUACCCUUUAAUACCUAUCAUUCCCUACACUCAAAUGCCCCCAGGGGCCUGAUGGGCCACCAGCAAGUGAUUUGGGCUGGGAGGGGACUGGGGGCUGAGAGCAGGUGCCCCAUCUGAAGUGGGCAGCCACCGCCAGCCCAGCAAACAGUGAGACAGUCCUCCUGACCUGCUCUGUCACUCUCACCUCUGGGAUCUUACACACACACACACACACACACACACACACACACACACCCCACCAGGAGUAUAUGUCUGCCUGCCUCCCAUAUCCCAUUCCUGGGAGAACUCCCUUCCCAAUGUCUUCCAGCUGUGUUUCCCUGACUGUGGCCCUUCUUCCCAGGCAGCUCCUCUCCAGAGCUCCUCUGCUUGCAGCUUCUCAGUGUUUUCUCCUAUAAAACCACCUCUCCUAGAAGCCCUUGAAGCUUUCUCCCCUCCCCCAAUGGUAUCUAUACCACUAACACGGAAUGUCUGUGGUUGUUUGAUUCUGCUUGUAACUUUCUUCCACAGGUGUCCUCCUCUCAGUUUCUCUUUUGCUUAUUCUCCAAACUCUGGCUUCUUCUCCGCUAACUGCUUUGUCUAAGGGACCUGAUUCAUGCAGUGCUCUCACCUGCAUUGAUGUGCCUGGGGGAGGAGAGAGGGUUCGUCCCCUUCUGCUCUACUCAAAUCCCCAGUUUCUUAAGUCUAUCUUUACCUCCUCAGCUCCCCCAUCUUUGCUUCGAACCCCAGGUCAACUCUCCAGGUCUUUGACUCAAUAGGAAAUCAUGUUCCCACUGCCCUUGAUGCUUUGCAUGCCAAAGGGAGACUGAAGGGAUAAUGAGGGGGAGUGUCUCUGAGUUCCCAGGGUUGACAUGGAGAAGGUUCUGGAGGGAUGUGAGUGAUGUGCUCAAGAGCAGAGGAGGAGAGAGCACCACCAAGCAUUCCAACAUGCAGACAGAUAGGAAAUAGUCUCCUCAAAGGACUUGGUGGAAGUGGGGGCAAUUUCUUCUCUUUCACUUCUGCAGGAAUCCAGGUAUUAAUGCUAAGAGAGUGGGUUUGAGAUUCUCAGGCUCUCGAACACAAUGAUUCAAACCCCUUCUUAAUCUUUCCUGGAAUGGCAAGGGCUCUCAGAACUGGAUUGGCCCUCGGUAGAACAGGAGCUUUUCAUUUUGCUCCACCGCCGUCCCUUUCUCUCACCUACCACUAACUCAGGAAAGGGUCAGGACUGGGCACAACCCAACUGUAAGCCAACAAGGCUACAAACCACCUUCAGCCUCUUGUUUGGGAUUCUCUCUCCCUUUUUUUCUUUAAGAUUUUAUUUAUUUAUUCAUGAGAGAGGCAGAGACACAGGCAGAGGGAGAAGCAGGCUUCCGGCAGGAAGCCCGACGCCAGAGCCAAAGGCAAACGAUCAACCACUGAGCUACCCAGGCGUCCCUCUUCCUCCCUUUUCAUCAGUACCCCAGCUGGGAAGAA
RNAcentral lists this long non-coding RNA (2027 nucleotides) under Canis lupus familiaris (dog). RNAcentral describes it as "lncRNA (ENSCAFG00845002919.1)". The record is from RNAcentral. Lineage: Eukaryota; Metazoa; Chordata; Mammalia; Carnivora; Canidae.